RNAcentral lists this ribosomal RNA (569 nucleotides) under uncultured Gammaproteobacteria bacterium. Its description in RNAcentral is "bacterial SSU rRNA". It matches the Rfam family "Bacterial small subunit ribosomal RNA", at positions 812 to 1381 of the family's 1533-position model. Lineage: Bacteria; Pseudomonadati; Pseudomonadota; Gammaproteobacteria. The record is from RNAcentral.
UCGAUUUGGAGUUUGUUGCCUAGAGUGAUGGGCUCCGAAGCUAACGCGAUAAAUCGACCGCCUGGGGAGUACGGCCGCAAGGUUAAAACUCAAAUGGAUUGACGGGGGCCCGCACAAGCGGUGGAGCAUGUGGUUUAAUUCGAUGCAACGCGAAGAACCUUACCUGGUCUUGACAUCCACAGAAUCCUGCAGAGAUGUGAGAGUGCCUUCGGGAACUGUGAGACAGGUGCUGCAUGGCUGUCGUCAGCUCGUGUUGUGAAAUGUUGGGUUAAGUCCCGCAACGAGCGCAACCCUUAUCCUUUGUUGCCAUCGGUUAGGCCGGGAACUCAAAGGAGACUGCCGUUGAUAAAGCGGAGGAAGGUGGGGACGACGUCAAGUCAUCAUGGCCCUUACGACCAGGGCUACACACGUGCUACAAUGGCGUAUACAAAGGGAGGCGACCUCGCGAGAGCAAGCGGACCUCAUAAAGUACGUCUAAGUCCGGAUUGGAGUCUGCAACUCGACUCCAUGAAGUCGGAAUCGCUAGUAAUCGUGAAUCAGAAUGUCACGGUGAAUACGUUCCCGGGCCU